This 1245-nucleotide ribosomal RNA is filed under the name Salmonella enterica subsp. diarizonae. Its description in RNAcentral is "partial 23S ribosomal RNA". It matches the Rfam family "Bacterial large subunit ribosomal RNA", at positions 1577 to 2803 of the family's 2925-position model. Lineage: Bacteria; Pseudomonadati; Pseudomonadota; Gammaproteobacteria; Enterobacterales; Enterobacteriaceae. The record is from RNAcentral.
CCACGGUGCUGAAGCAACAAAUGCCCUGCUUCCAGGAAAAGCCUCUAAGCAUCAGGUAACAUCAAAUCGUACCCCAAACCGACACAGGUGGUCAGGUAGAGAAUACCAAGGCGCUUGAGAGAACUCGGGUGAAGGAACUAGGCAAAAUGGUGCCGUAACUUCGGGAGAAGGCACGCUGACACGUAGGUGAAGUGAUUUACUCAUGGAGCUGAAGUCAGUCGAAGAUACCAGCUGGCUGCAACUGUUUAUUAAAAACACAGCACUGUGCAAACACGAAAGUGGACGUAUACGGUGUGACGCCUGCCCGGUGCCGGAAGGUUAAUUGAUGGGGUCAGCGCAAGCGAAGCUCCUGAUCGAAGCCCCGGUAAACGGCGGCCGUAACUAUAACGGUCCUAAGGUAGCGAAAUUCCUUGUCGGGUAAGUUCCGACCUGCACGAAUGGCGUAAUGAUGGCCAGGCUGUCUCCACCCGAGACUCAGUGAAAUUGAACUCGCUGUGAAGAUGCAGUGUACCCGCGGCAAGACGGAAAGACCCCGUGAACCUUUACUAUAGCUUGACACUGAACAUUGAGCCUUGAUGUGUAGGAUAGGUGGGAGGCUUUGAAGCGUGGACGCCAGUCUGCGUGGAGCCGACCUUGAAAUACCACCCUUUAAUGUUUGAUGUUCUAACGUGGACCCGUAAUCCGGGUUGCGGACAGUGUCUGGUGGGUAGUUUGACUGGGGCGGUCUCCUCCUAAAGAGUAACGGAGGAGCACGAAGGUUGGCUAAUCCUGGUCGGACAUCAGGAGGUUAGUGCAAUGGCAUAAGCCAGCUUGACUGCGAGCGUGACGGCGCGAGCAGGUGCGAAAGCAGGUCAUAGUGAUCCGGUGGUUCUGAAUGGAAGGGCCAUCGCUCAACGGAUAAAAGGUACUCCGGGGAUAACAGGCUGAUACCGCCCAAGAGUUCAUAUCGACGGCGGUGUUUGGCACCUCGAUGUCGGCUCAUCACAUCCUGGGGCUGAAGUAGGUCCCAAGGGUAUGGCUGUUCGCCAUUUAAAGUGGUACGCGAGCUGGGUUUAGAACGUCGUGAGACAGUUCGGUCCCUAUCUGCCGUGGGCGCUGGAAGACUGAGGGGGGCUGCUCCUAGUACGAGAGGACCGGAGUGGACGCAUCACUGGUGUUCGGGUUGUCAUGCCAAUGGCACUGCCCGGUAGCUAAAUGCGGAAAAGAUAAGUGCUGAAAGCAUCUAAGCACGAAACUUGCCCCGAG